AUCUGGUUCAGGAUGAACGCUAGCUACAGGCUUAACACAUGCAAGUCGAGGGGCAGCAUGAAAGUAGCUUGCUACUUUGAUGGCGACCGGCGCACGGGUGCGUAACACGUAUCCGAAUCUACCCAUGGGCUCAGGGAUAGCCUUUCGAAAGAAAGAUUAAUACCUGAUGGUUUCAUGAGCCCGCAUGGACUUAUGGAAUAAAGAUUUAUCGGCGAUGGAUGAGGAUGCGUCCGAUUAGAUAGUAGGCGGGGUAACGGCCCACCUAGUCGACGAUCGGUAGGGGCUCUGAGAGGAGGAUCCCCCACAUUGGAACUGAGACACGGUCCAAACUCCUACGGGAGGCAGCAGUGAGGAAUAUUGGUCAAUGGGCGAGAGCCUGAACCAGCCAAGUAGCGUGAGGGAUGACUGCCUAUGGGUUGUAAACCUCUUUUGUUUGGGAAUAAAGUGAGCCACGUGUGGCUUUUUGUAUGUACCUUACGAAUAAGCAUCGGCUAAUUCCGUGCCAGCCGCGGC
Molecule: ribosomal RNA, 513 nt
Filed under: uncultured bacterium
Lineage: Bacteria
Description: bacterial SSU rRNA
Rfam family: Bacterial small subunit ribosomal RNA
Source: RNAcentral